CUAUUUUUGGGUGCUGAAAGGAUUCUUCCAUCUCCAGGGCUGGUAUGUGCCUUUCAGAACUGGCUCAAGCUGAAAUGAAGAAGAGAUGAAAUCCAGGGGUUAUGUGUCCUUCUUUGAAGAAUGACACUUGAGUGAUUCAGACAGUCCUUCAUGGCUGAAGUUCUACUUACAACUUUGAAGCAGUUCCUAAGAAGCGAAUGUGGUUCUUCAAAAAACACUCUGCAGAUGUUUUGCUUGCUUGUAAUUGGACAUGGCUUCUCUUUCUGUGGUACAAGACUGCACUUGUUCACCUGGGAAAGCAGAAUUACUGAAGUUGGGGGACUUUGUUUUUUAAUACAUCAGGUUAGGAUGAAUUCUUCAGAUUUCCAGUGUGAGCUGGUUUAAAGGAAGAUAUGGGCAGCUCAGUACACUGCUCUAAUGUUUAUUGUUCAAUAAUAUUGAGAUGUAACUAAUAUUACAGAUUAGACAUUGUUUCCUUUU
This is a long non-coding RNA of Neopelma chrysocephalum (saffron-crested tyrant-manakin), 480 nucleotides long. RefSeq lists it as uncharacterized. Lineage: Eukaryota; Metazoa; Chordata; Aves; Passeriformes; Pipridae. The record is from RefSeq and is a predicted model, not a curated record. The transcript has 3 exons.